This 465-nucleotide ribosomal RNA is filed under the name Brochothrix thermosphacta DSM 20171 = FSL F6-1036. RNAcentral's name for it is "bacterial LSU rRNA". It matches the Rfam family "Bacterial large subunit ribosomal RNA", at positions 2460 to 2925 of the family's 2925-position model. The record is from RNAcentral. Lineage: Bacteria; Bacillati; Bacillota; Bacilli; Caryophanales; Listeriaceae.
AAGCUACCCCGGGGAUAACAGGCUUAUCUCCCCCAAGAGUCCACAUCGACGGGGAGGUUUGGCACCUCGAUGUCGGCUCAUCGCAUCCUGGGGCUGUAGUCGGUCCCAAGGGUUGGGCUGUUCGCCCAUUAAAGCGGUACGCGAGCUGGGUUCAGAACGUCGUGAGACAGUUCGGUCCCUAUCCGUCGCGGGCGCAGGAAAUUUGAGAGGAGCUGUCCUUAGUACGAGAGGACCGGGAUGGACACACCGCUGGUGUACCAGUUGUUCCGCCAGGAGCAUCGCUGGGUAGCUAUGUGUGGAAGGGAUAAACGCUGAAAGCAUCUAAGCGUGAAGCCCCCCUCGAGAUGAGAUUUCCCAUCACUUUAUGUGAGUAAGACCCCUGAGAGACGAUCAGGUUGAUAGGUUCGGAGUGGAAGUACAGCAAUGUAUGGAGCGGACGAAUACUAAUAGGUCGAGGACUUAACC